Molecule: ribosomal RNA, 429 nt
Filed under: Bacteroidota bacterium
Lineage: Bacteria; Pseudomonadati; Bacteroidota
Description: Bacteroidetes bacterium partial 16S ribosomal RNA
Rfam family: Bacterial small subunit ribosomal RNA
Source: RNAcentral
UAGGGAAUCUUCCGCAAUGGACGCAAGUCUGACGGAGCAACGCCGCGUGAGUGAAGAAGGAUUUCGGUUCGUAAAACUCUGUUGUUAGAGAAGAACAGCGCAUAGAGUAACUGUUAUGCGUGUGACGGUAUCUAACCAGAAAGCCACGCCUAACUACGUGCCAGCAGCCGCGGUAAUACGUAGGUGGCAAGCGUUGUCCGGAUUUUUUGGGCGUAAAGCGAGCGCAGGCGGUCAAUUAAGUCGGAUGUGAAAGCCCCCGGCUCAACCGGGGAGGGUAAUUGGAAACUGAUUGACUUGAGUGCAGAAGAGGAGAGUGGAAUUCCAUGUGUGGCGGUGAAAUGCGUAGAUAUAUGGAGGAACACCAGUGGCGAAGGAGACUCUCUGGUCUGUAACUGACGCUGAGGCUCGAAAGCGUGGGUAGCAAACAGG